UGUAAGUAUAUAUCUCAUUUAGAGAAUACCGACAAGCAAGGUUAUUCAGAACGCCAGGCUCAUGGAGAUAAGCUAACUUGGUCAUGUCAUCAACCCCAGAUGGUGGUGCUUCGGUAUCCUUUGGGUAUAUGCUAGAAAUAGAAGCAACUGUCGUCUUCCCAUUAGUUGUGGCUACUGUGGCAUUUGAGCCUUUAAUUUCUG
Molecule: unclassified non-coding RNA, 201 nt
Filed under: Hevea brasiliensis (rubber tree)
Lineage: Eukaryota; Viridiplantae; Streptophyta; Magnoliopsida; Malpighiales; Euphorbiaceae
Source: RNAcentral